RNAcentral lists this ribosomal RNA (402 nucleotides) under uncultured bacterium. Its description in RNAcentral is "bacterial SSU rRNA". It matches the Rfam family "Bacterial small subunit ribosomal RNA", at positions 356 to 773 of the family's 1533-position model. The record is from RNAcentral.
GGGGAAUCUUGCACAAUGGGCGGAGGCCUGAUGCAGCAACGCCGCGUGAGUGAAGACGGCCUUCGGGUUGUAAAACUCUGUCAGGAGGGGCGAAAAAAUGACGGUACCUCCAGAGGAAGCCCCGGCUAACUACGUGCCAGCAGCCGCGGUAACACGUAGGGGGCCAGCGUUGUCCGGAAUUACUGGGCGUAAAGGGCGUGUAGGCGGCCUAGCAAGUCAGCUGUGAAACCCCCGGGCUCAACCUGGGGCUUGCAGCUGAAACUGCCUGGCUUGAGUGCAGGAGAGGAGAGUGGAAUUCCUAGUGUAGCGGUGAUAUGCGUAGAUAUUAGGAGGAACACCAGUGGCGAAGGCGGCUCUCUGGACUGCAACUGACGCUGAGGCGCGAAAGCGUGGGGAGCAAAC